Molecule: long non-coding RNA, 530 nt
Organism: Myiozetetes cayanensis
Lineage: Eukaryota; Metazoa; Chordata; Aves; Passeriformes; Tyrannidae
Exons: 4
Source: RefSeq, a predicted model, not a curated record
AUGUAAGGACAGCUCUGUACACUUAAAAGACUGGGCACAACUGGGACGACUUGAGUGAAAGAGGAGGAACAGAAAGAGAGGGGAAGCCCGAGAGUUGUCCUGAGUCUCUUCAAGGGUCUGAGCUCCACUGAGCUUCUCUUGGCUCUGUUCUGUCCAGCUCCUUCCCUGCAGCUUCAGAGUCAAGCCUCUUCCCAAAAUCCACGCUGUUUGGCAUUGAUCCUGCAGCCAAAGAGAGCUCCUUUAGCAGUGGAAUCUGCCCAAGAGGCAAUGGCAAUGGGGCUGCCCUGGUGACUGCAGUGGGCUCUGGCACUGAUGGAGUUCAGCGAGGUCCUUUUGCUCAGGGUGAAUCAGGGAGCACUUGACAACCCAGAGCAUCUGCAAGAGCUCCUGAGGCUCCUCUCACAGAGCUCCUCUGACGAGCAGAGUGAUGCAGCCAGUCUGAACAAGUGCUGGAGCAAGAGGACUGUGGCCUGAAGGAAUCCUCUAAGAACUGCUUGACUGUGGAAAAUGAUGGUCCCUCUCCCAGAGAA